AGCGCGUGGCGGAGAGCAGCCGUCGGGUGGGAGGAGGUGGGGAUGGGAGCGGAGGGACGGGCAUCUUCCGGUAGCAGCCGCGUUGUGAGGGGUAGGAGUGACACUGCUGUGAAUGGAAGUUAGACCUGCAGGCCAAAACCAGUGUCACCCUGGCACAAGGAGAGCCCACCUAAUGGCAUACUUUUUAAGAUCUCCAAACAGAUGCUGCUGCAGGAGUCUCCAUAUGGUUUGUGUCAUUGCCCCAGGACAAAAGAGACAUCCAGGAUUUGGACAGAGUUUCUGCUGCUGUUCUUCCAAAGCCUCCAUCCCAGCUGCUCACAUCAGAAACAAAGCGAGGCCCUAACCCUUGGCAAUUCCUAGCAGCAGAAAGGGCCACCAGAGCUAGCGGUUAGUAAGAAGUAACCACUUUAAUAUAAAGCAAAUAUUCCUCGAGCUUCUUUAAUCUGUUCAAAGGAUUGUUGUACUGCUUACCAGCCUUGGUAUUAGCAAGGGGCAAAAGUGGUCAUUACUGUAAUUUGGUCAGCUGCUUGACUCCAGAUUUGUCUUACCAGACGUCAUUUUGCUCCAGUAGUAGCCUCAAGCGUUCUGUUCUUCUGUAUAUAUGUAAAUAUAUGAUGAAGAGUGACCCAGCCAUCUUAUUUGGCUUGCAUUUUGGAAUUUAAAGAAAUAGAAAAUAGACAGAAUCAUAGAGGUUGGAAAGGACCCCUGGAGGUCCAUCUCUCUGCUAAAGCAGAUUUCCUGGAGUAGGUUGGUUGCGUAGGAAAGCAUCUGAUUUUGUGUAUCUCCAGAGAAGGGGACUCUACCACCUCUCUGGGCAGCCUGUCCCAGUGCUCUGUCGCCCAAACAGUAAUGAAGUUUGUAUGAAACUGCCUAUGUUCCUGUUUGUGCCCAUCGCCCUUUGUCCUGCUGCUUGGCACCACUAAGAGCCUGGCUCCAUCCACUUGACUUGACUCACAGCUAUAGGUAGUCUUUUUCAGUAUUAUCACUAAGUGGCUAUUUUUGGUGAACCUGAGUAGGUAGCACAAUUAUGAAAUGCAUUGUGAGAACAAGCUGCACAUUGUUUAAGAAAAAGAAAAAAAAAAUCUGUGCUGUAAGGGAUGAUAGGAGGGAGGAGGGGUAGGAACCACUUAUACUUGUCUUCAGUAUAUCCAUAACUAACUGGUUCUCUUCCACCCCUCAUGUAGUGACACUCUAGUGAAAAACUAUUUCCUUCUGUUACUUUUAUACAAUUUGCAGGCCAUUAUUUGACCAUAAACACAUAACCUUACUGUAAAUGGGAGCCUUGAAGACAGAUUUGCUUGUGUCUAGUAAUUUGAGUAGCACUGAGGAACAGCUACAAUAUGCCUUAAAGGCCCAGCAGAUGUAUCUGCUUUGUUCAGGAUGAAAAUUUUACUCAGUGAUUUUCGGGGUGGGUAUUUCUUAAGUUCUUUGCAUGUCUCUGGGAGGAUUUGUGUAUACCUGCUUGAUUUCAUGGCUGCUGAGUUCAAAAAUGCCGUGCAGGACUUGGGCAGCCAUGAAUUAGUGUACAGACUGAGGAGACAUGAAAAUGAGGUGAUGAGGCUUGGCUGUAGAAAGAUUUUUGCUGUCAGUCUGAAUGAAAUAACACUGUGGGACUGGAAACAGCAGGCACUGUCAGAUAGAAAGGAUUAAAAGGCUUUUUAGUGUGGCUUAGUAGUGUACAGAAGAUUGGCUUACUUGUGAUAGAUCUUCUUUUGUCACAUUGAUCUUUAUUUCGCAUUGUGCUUAAUACAACAAAAACUGAAGUCUGAAGUAUUCUUUCAUGAAUCGUCUCACACAAUGUGUGCCUUCUGUUACUUACAAAAAUCUUUUUUUUUUUUAAGAAAUUGAUUUUAUUUUUUUUUUUUUCCACUAUAGCCAAUGUUGAGUCACAGCUGAAGAAUACGGAGUUGUAAUAAUUUUAUGAUCACUGUAUGUGGCCAUGUUGAUGAGAGGAAGGCUAUGAUAGAAUGAGCUACACUACUUUAUGUUACUUUCCUGUAUGGAUGUAUCGAUCUAACAUAAUAGGGAGCUAGCUGAUGAAGGAAUAAAAGGCAAUUCAAUGGUUCCCUGUGUCAGCUGUAUGACUAAACCCAUGAGGUGGUAAUUACAGGAUGAUAGCUCCCGUUCCAGGGGAUGCAGCUGGCUUGUCAGGCUGGAAACUAGAAAUAAGGGAAGGAUGAUGUUGGCAGAGGCUGACUAAGGAAAUUAUUUGACACAGAGCAAGACUUAGCAAGAGAGGCUGGAAGAAGCUGGGCCUUCCUUUUGCCAGCACUGGAGCAGUAGGUAUGACAUACAGAAGGAAAGGUGUGUGUGUUGACUGGUUCAUUGUUUUUAAGAUUUAUUUUGCCUUAAAUGGUUGGUGCUAAGUGUUUUGUGAUUGGUGCUUACUGUCUUUACUUCACGAGAGACUAAAACUGCAAGGCCUGGGUCUGUCUUGAAUCUGCAGAGGUAAUCAUGGCUCAUACACCGGGGAAGCAACCUGAGAACUGCUCUGCCUGUAGCUAAAGAAGACAGUGUGAGAUCUGGGGGAACAGUUAGCUGAUCUCUUGUGAGAACAAAAAGGCAAAUGCAUGAGUUCUGCUUUUUCAUCUUUGAGAAUGAUUUUGUGCUUAAGUAGUUUAUAGAACAAUGGGCAAGCUUUCAGACAGACUCAAGCUUGGUGUUUGGAUGUUUUGUUUUUCUUUUUUAUGGCAUAGUUAAAAACUAUAAUCUGAAGAAAAAAUAUUGCAUAAAUAAUGGUGAAUAUCGGUUAUGCCUAAAAUACGGGCUAGCUGCUGCAACUGAAUGAUAAUACAGCAAAAGUAGGUUUUAUUUUGUUCCCUUUUAUUCACUGUUUAUUGUACAGCUGUUCUCACCACUUACCAUAUAUAAUCAAUUGGUUGUCUCCUGCUGUUAAUAUGGAUAUUUAGUACAUUGAAAUUGAAAAAAGACAUUUUUGUGGUAAGGAAAAUGCAGCUAAAAAACUUGUCUUU
Molecule: long non-coding RNA, 2972 nt
Organism: Lagopus leucura (white-tailed ptarmigan)
Lineage: Eukaryota; Metazoa; Chordata; Aves; Galliformes; Phasianidae
Exons: 3
Source: RefSeq, a predicted model, not a curated record